GCCCCCAUAGCUCAGGGGAUAGAGCACCGCCCUCCGGAGGCGGGGGCGCAGGUUCGAUUCCUGCUGGGGGCG
This 72-nucleotide transfer RNA is filed under the name Rhodoluna sp. Its description in RNAcentral is "tRNA-Arg". It matches the Rfam family "tRNA". Rfam says of the family: Transfer RNA (tRNA) molecules are approximately 80 nucleotides in length. Their secondary structure includes four short double-helical elements and three loops (D, anti-codon, and T loops). Further hydrogen bonds mediate the characteristic L-shaped molecular structure. tRNAs have two regions of fundamental functional importance: the anti-codon, which is responsible for specific mRNA codon recognition, and the 3' end, to which the tRNAs corresponding amino acid is attached (by aminoacyl-tRNA synthetases). tRNAs cope with the degeneracy of the genetic code in two manners: having more than one tRNA (with a specific anti-codon) for a particular amino acid; and 'wobble' base-pairing, i.e. permitting non-standard base-pairing at the 3rd anti-codon position. Lineage: Bacteria; Bacillati; Actinomycetota; Actinomycetes; Micrococcales; Microbacteriaceae. The record is from RNAcentral.